RNAcentral lists this ribosomal RNA (532 nucleotides) under uncultured bacterium. RNAcentral's name for it is "bacterial SSU rRNA". It matches the Rfam family "Bacterial small subunit ribosomal RNA", at positions 1 to 518 of the family's 1533-position model. The record is from RNAcentral.
GGUCCGUCGGUCGACGUACGUCACGUAGAGGUUAGUAGUACACUGGCUACAGGACGAACGCUGGCGGCGUGCCUAACACAUGCAAGUCGAACGGACUGAUUCGCUUCGGUGAUGAAAGUUAGUGGCGGACGGGUGAGUAACGCGUGAGGAACCCGCCUUUCAGAGGGGGAUAACGUUUGGAAACGAACGCUAAUACCGCAUAACGCAUUUUUUAUCGCAUGGUAGAGAUGCCAAAGGAGCAAUCCGCUGAAAGAUGGCCUCGCGUCUGAUUAGAUAGUUGGUGGGGUAACGGCCUACCAAGUCGACGAUCAGUAGCCGGACUGAGAGGUUGAACGGCCACAUUGGGACUGAGACACGGCCCAGACUCCUACGGGAGGCAGCAGUGAGGGAUAUUGCACAAUGGGCGAAAGCCUGAUGCAGCAACGCCGCGUGAGGGAUGACGGUUUUCGGAUUGUAAACCUCUGUCUUCGGUGACGAAACAAAUGACGGUAGCCGGGGAGGAAGCCACGGCUAACUACGUGCCAGCAGCCGC